Molecule: ribosomal RNA, 1449 nt
Filed under: uncultured bacterium
Lineage: Bacteria
Description: bacterial SSU rRNA
Rfam family: Bacterial small subunit ribosomal RNA
Source: RNAcentral
AGAGUUUGAUCAUGGCUCAGGAUGAACGCUGGCGGCGUGCUUAACACAUGCAAGUCGAACGAACCUUCGGGUUAGUGGCGGACGGGUGAGUAACGCGUGGGAAUCUGCCCUCAGGAGGGGGAUAACGGUUGGAAACGGCCGCUAAUACCCCAUAUGCCGAGAGGUGAAAUGAAUUUCGCCUGAGGAUGAGCCCGCGUCUGAUUAGCUAGUUGGUGAGGUAAGAGCUCACCAAGGCAUCGAUCAGUAGCUGGUCUGAGAGGAUGAUCAGCCACACUGGGACUGAGACACGGCCCAGACUCCUACGGGAGGCAGCAGUGGGGAAUUUUCCGCAAUGGGCGAAAGCCUGACGGAGCAACGCCGCGUGAGGGAUGAAGGCCUCUGGGCUGUAAACCUCUUUUAUCAAGGAAGAAGAUCUGACGGUACUUGAUGAAUAAGCCACGGCUAAUUCCGUGCCAGCAGCCGCGGUAAUACGGGAGUGGCAAGCGUUAUCCGGAAUUAUUGGGCGUAAAGCGUCCGCAGGCGGCCCUUCAAGUCUGCUGUUAAAAAGUGGAGCUUAACUCCAUCAUGGCAGUGGAAACUGUUGGGCUUGAGUGUGGUAGGGGCAGAGGGAAUUCCCGGUGUAGCGGUGAAAUGCGUAGAUAUCGGGAAGAACACCAGUGGCGAAGGCGCUCUGCUGGGCCAUCACUGACGCUCAUGGACGAAAGCCAGGGGAGCGAAAGGGAUUAGAUACCCCUGUAGUCCUGGCCGUAAACGAUGAACACUAGGUGUCGGGGGAAUCGACCCCUCCGGUGUCGUAGCCAACGCGUUAAGUGUUCCGCCUGGGGAGUACGCACGCAAGUGUGAAACUCAAAGGAAUUGACGGGGGCCCGCACAAGCGGUGGAGUAUGUGGUUUAAUUCGAUGCAACGCGAAGAACCUUACCAGGGUUUGACAUCCUGCGAAUCUCUUGGAAACUUGAGAGUGCCUUCGGGAGCGCAGUGACAGGUGGUGCAUGGCUGUCGUCAGCUCGUGUCGUGAGAUGUUGGGUUAAGUCCCGCAACGAGCGCAACCCACGUUUUUAGUUGCCAGCAUUUAGUUGGGCACUCUAGAGAGACCGCCGGUGAUAAACCGGAGGAAGGUGUGGAUGACGUCAAGUCAUCAUGCCCCUUACAUCCUGGGCUACACACGUACUACAAUGCUACGGACAAAGGGCAGCAAGUUCGCGAGGACAAGCAAAUCCCAUAAACCGUGGCUCAGUUCAGAUCGUAGGCUGCAACUCGCCUACGUGAAGGAGGAAUCGCUAGUAAUCGCAGGUCAGCAUACUGCGGUGAAUACGUUCCCGGGCCUUGUACACACCGCCCGUCACACCAUGGAAGUUGGCCACGCCCGAAGCCGUUACUCCAACCCUUGUGGAGGAGGACGUCGAAGGUGGGGCUGAUGACUGGGGUGAAGUCGUAACAAGGUAACCGUA